GGGGAUAUAGCUCAGCUGGGAGAGCGAUACGUUCGCAACGUAUAGGUCACGGGUUCAAAUCCCGCUAUCUCCA
Molecule: transfer RNA, 73 nt
Filed under: Blautia pseudococcoides
Lineage: Bacteria; Bacillati; Bacillota; Clostridia; Lachnospirales; Lachnospiraceae
Also listed under: 2 other names
Description: Blautia sp. YL58 tRNA
Rfam family: tRNA
About the family: Transfer RNA (tRNA) molecules are approximately 80 nucleotides in length. Their secondary structure includes four short double-helical elements and three loops (D, anti-codon, and T loops). Further hydrogen bonds mediate the characteristic L-shaped molecular structure. tRNAs have two regions of fundamental functional importance: the anti-codon, which is responsible for specific mRNA codon recognition, and the 3' end, to which the tRNAs corresponding amino acid is attached (by aminoacyl-tRNA synthetases). tRNAs cope with the degeneracy of the genetic code in two manners: having more than one tRNA (with a specific anti-codon) for a particular amino acid; and 'wobble' base-pairing, i.e. permitting non-standard base-pairing at the 3rd anti-codon position.
Source: Rfam by way of RNAcentral